AUCAAAGCAAGUUUAUUUUUUCAAUCUGUAGGUGCCAAGAACACAUACGGGACUGCCAGAGAGACGACUGACAUGGAUUAUGAAAAUGCAGAAACUAUUUUUCACCAAAGCGAAGAUUCAGAUGAUUGUGAUACGGACUAUGUCAAUAUGGAGGGUAAUGUAGGGAAGAUGGAAAUGGGCAAUGACUUUGCAGGGAACAAGAUGGAUGAUGACGUAGGUGAUUACGAAAAUGUAGCAGUCACUGUCCACCAGAGGGAGGAUUUGGAUGCUUCUGACGAGGGCUACAUUGACUUAGAAACAAUGACCAUGGACAAUCAGUUUAAUGAUGAAAAAAUGUUGUGUAAACAUGGAGAAGUAUGGUAAAAAAAUUGUUAUCCAGUAUCACUUUAAUUCAAACUUGAAGUGCUCCUUUAUUCAUAAAUCACAAAAAAGGGAAUCAAAAGUCACUCAUCACUGGGUACAAUGAAAUCUGCCCAGUCUAAAAAGGUGGUUCUCUGCAGUGCAAAGAAACUAGCUUAUGUUAGAUGGAUGGAUGGAUGGAUGGAUGGAUGGAUGGAUGGAUGGAUGGAUGGUAGAAUAUUUGCCAUGCGAUCUGACUGCAGUAGCCCUAUUUUGUCUGUAUUAUUUUUGGAAGAAAAAAGACAAUUCAGUGUAAAUAAGAGUUUUCUUUGAAUUGUUUUAAAUAUUCAAGUUUUGUAUGAUUUGCAAUGAACUUAUUACACUUAUCAAAUCUACAAGAAGUGUGUCUCAGCACACUAGUACUCACGGCGGAGAGGCAUGUAGAGGUAAUCUGUCCAUUAGACCUGCAUGCCACCGUCUCAGUUUAGUUCACUUUCUGUGAUGAACGUUAGCUUAUUAUUCUGACUUGCUUUUAAAUAUCUAACUUAUAAUGACUCAACAAGAUUACAGACCUAUAACACUGGAACAAAAGUCCAGUUUCCCACAUGAGAAAAGCAGAAUCCAACAUUAAUAAAUUAACAUUGUUGCCAUAAUCAUCUUGUUUAUUGUGGUACUCUUUAAUCUUUCCCGAGAGUUUGUUGCUGGGCAUUGUGCG
Molecule: long non-coding RNA, 1054 nt
Organism: Pygocentrus nattereri (red-bellied piranha)
Lineage: Eukaryota; Metazoa; Chordata; Actinopteri; Characiformes; Serrasalmidae
Source: Ensembl